RNAcentral lists this ribosomal RNA (91 nucleotides) under Brevibacillus laterosporus. RNAcentral's name for it is "partial 23S ribosomal RNA". It matches the Rfam family "Bacterial large subunit ribosomal RNA", at positions 2834 to 2925 of the family's 2925-position model. RNAcentral also lists the same sequence under 1 other name. The record is from RNAcentral. Lineage: Bacteria; Bacillati; Bacillota; Bacilli; Caryophanales; Paenibacillaceae.
CCCCUUAUAGACGAUGAGGUUGAUAGGUUCGGUGUGGAAGUGCAGUAAUGCAUGGAGCUGACGAAUACUAAUCGGUCGAGGACUUAUCCAC